RNA transcript from Helianthus annuus (common sunflower), 3878 nucleotides. It is a transcript of the gene named sulfate transporter 1.2-like, with no coding region annotated. NCBI's taxonomy places the organism in Eukaryota, Viridiplantae, Streptophyta, Magnoliopsida, Asterales, Asteraceae. The transcript has 9 exons. The record is from RefSeq and is a predicted model, not a curated record.
AAAUUCAGUCCUGGUGGAAUACGAGCAUAACCAGUCGCACGCACAGAACAGAAGGGGGAAAGAAACCCCAAAUCGCUGCUGACCUGCUGUUGUUGUUCGAGUCCGAGGGCAGGGGUCUUGAACUUGCUCGAUUUCUUCACGAAUCACGGCUCAUCCUCAGGUUGAAAUUGGGGGUGAAUUUUAGCCCUAAACUUGUUGAAAUUGUCAAUCUUCGACGAAUUCUUCUUGAAUCUUCAUAAGAUUAGAUUAUUCUAUGGGAUUGACCGGCUGCUGCUGUGCCUGCUCUUGUUCGACUGCAAGCUGCUGCGCUACUUAUUGUGGUCUUGUUUGACUUCUUCAAUCUUCAUAAGGUUAAAGGUCCGGUGCCUUCCGCCCCCCCAAACUUUUUUUCCAAGCUUCGCCACUGCUUCACGGGUAAGUUUUCUCUACUUUAUUUUCUAAUGUUAGCGCUGACUGCUGGGUAGACAUGUACAAAAAACCGGUUUUAGAUUUGAAACCGAAAAAAAACCGGAACCGGUUUUUAAGAUUAUAAAAAUGUUUUUUUAACCAGUUCGGGCUCAACAUAAAAACCGAACCGAUUGUAAAAAGCUGAUCUAAACCGGUUUUAAACCCGGUUCGUACCAGUUCGGGGUUCUCAUCAUAAAAACCCGGUUUAAAAACCGGUCCCCCCACAUGGCCUAAUUGUCGGAUUUAAACUAUCUAUUUUAUAAUAAGAGUUUUGUUGUUAAUAAUCACAUAUUAGUGUGAUUAAAAAAGGAUAUACUAUUUGGAUAUUUCUCUAAUUUUUUUUAAUGAAAAGAUGUAAGAAGUUGUAAGCAUAUAUAUACAUACACUUGGAGACCCGUUUCACUGUUAACGAAAUUGUUGAAGUUUACCCUGUACAUUUUAACCAUAACUUAAGUAAAUGGGUCAAAAUUGCAAUUUAUUCAUCAUUAUAAAACAUUUGCUAAAUAGUUGUUGAUUGCUUGCGGUUACAAAGUGUUGGUAAACCCCAGUGUGAGUGACGUUCUCUGCAUAGCCACAGCCGACCAUCUGUCAAACGACUUCUUCAGAUCAUUUCCCAAUUGCUUGAGAUACAAGACACCUGAAGAAUUUGUGAACAAAAUAAAUGAAGCCAUGUCACGUGACCCGCUUGGUUUAAAAAAGCGCGGCGCAAACCAAAACGCCUUGUGUGACAUAAGGCGCAGGUGAGGCGCGCGCCUUUUGUACAUGGGAUGCUAAAAGCCUAUGGGAUAUAUAAAAUAAUUUAUAUAAUCACUUUGCGCCUUGCGUACGAAAAGCUCACCGCUUUUGCGCUUUGUACCUCGGUUUCAGACCUCGUCGCUUUUCUAAACCAAGGUGACCCACAACCUCUUACACCUGAAGAAAGAUAUAAUCUUUCAUGGGAAGCAGCUACCCAAAGGUUCAUGCAGUAUUCUGAACUUGACAACCGCCUCUACUUCAGAAUCAGAUGAAGUCAACAGGAUCGUUCGAAGGUCAAAAUCAAUCCCGAAUUUGAGUGGUCGAUUCAGCCUUGGGGCUGGGGUGAUUGAGGAAGCUAGGGUGCAACGUGACAAAGGUUUCGGUUUCUAUUAUAUGAAAUAGUAUAGACAAUAAUGUUAUUUAUUUGUUCAUUUCUCUAGGCACAAAAAAACAUGACACCAACAAAAGCAACCGGCGAAACAUCAAGCACAUUAGACCCUCACCUAGCGGAUGAUGACAACUGAAUGGUUGAGGAAGAGGGGUUGUAUGACGAUAUUUGGUAAUGUUAUAAUGACAGAGAUUUGUUUUGUAAGUAAUGGACUUCAUGCUUCCAACAUCCAAAAUUUUAAGCAACGUGUUGACAAGUGACAACCGAAUGUUCUAGGUAACCAGGCGAUGGCAUUGACAGGUUGGGUAGCGGUGAAGUUGAGAGCAACGAUGGUGUUUAUAGUUUCAAUAAAUGUUUGUAGGUGCAAUGGUGGUUGGCGGCGAUUAUGAGUAUUGUUGGAUAGGGGUAACGACACGAGCCUAGAUCUUGUGACUCACUCCUUUAAAACCAUUCAAAAUAUUAUUUAAGACUUGUAAAGACUCAGUCAUAUCCAUUGAUUGGUAGAGGAUCCUGUACAUUAAUCCAGAAGUGUAUUAUAACACUAUAUAACACCAUAUAAACAUCGUAUAACAAUAUGUAACACCAUAUAACACUAUGUAACAUUAUAUAACACUAUAGUUUGUCUGUAACACCAUAUAACACUAUGUAACAUUAUAUAACACUAUAGUUUGUCUGAUAGCAUGUCUAUGAUAGAUGUAUAGUGUUAUAUAUUGUUAUAUAGUGUCAUGUAGUGUUACAUAGUCUUAUAUGGUGUUACAUAGUGUUAUACGGUGUUUAUAUGGUGUUAUAUCUCUAUAUCUAAUAAAAGAACAAGGUUCUGCCACUUGGCACCCCCACAUUCAACCAAUACACAUGUCAAAAUUCUAGCCAGUCCACAUCAUCCUAUCCUAGGUGUAAUUUUGUGAGAUUUUUCAAUUUUUGUGUAUUAUUAAUUCUUUCAAAUAUGCUGAAAUGUUUGGGCGGCCAGAUUCUGUGGAUUCAAUUUUUGAAUUUGAAUUCCAUUUACUCAUCCCAAGAAACUCAUUACCCUGUCAUCUCACUAUCAACUUUUUGUGUAUUACUGUUUCAUAUUCUCCUACAGAAACCCUUAAUGGUUCACAACAACAAACAAAAACUCACGAUUUCAAAAUACAAACCAACCGUUCUCUGCUUAGUUCUCUCUAAAAAGUUUUGGACAAUUCCUCUCAUUCGAUUUCUCAAUUUCAUGACCCUAUCUAGCGAUGGUGUGGUGUUUAUUGUUAAAAUCCGCCGACUAAGUGUUUCAGUGGCGGGAUUCUCGAGCAGAUUGGUAGGCAACUAAGACGAGAUUUCGAGGGUAGAUGGUGAUUUAGGCAGGUUCCGACAAUGCGGUUCUAAUUUAUUAGUUGCAUGUAUGUUUUCUGACAAGCGAGGGACUUUAAUGAUGGCGGUGGUGGAUGGUGGUUGUAUACUUUUAAGAGGGUUUUCUGUUGAAGUGGAGGGGGACAUCUCUGAACUCGAAGGUUAAAGGUUGCUUCCCACCUUACGAAGCAAGAAAAAUUGUAUUUCUAGGGCUAGCUGUUUAAGGUUCAUAUAACCUUAUGAAUCUUGAAUGACUCAAUUUGGUUAAAGUCUAUCGGGAACAAGUUAGGAAUGGCGCCUUCGACUGAAGAACGGGCCGCUGAAGCCAAGUUUAACGAGGAUGGAAAUACAGGUUUGAAGAAUCAGGCUAAGUAAGAUGAUGAAGCAGUUGCAGUUGUUGAAGGGGGAUUGUGCGGUAUGCAAGUCUACAUGCUCAUCAUGGUAGGACAGGAAGCUGGAGGGAUGAUUUGGAUCCUUGCGUAUGUGGGGUAUGCAAGUGUACAUGCUCAACUUUACUUACCUCCAAAAUAUGGAUUGUCUCGAGAGAUAUUGCAAUGGGCCCUGUGGCAGUGGUCUCUCUGUUGCUUGGAACUUUGUUACGAGAUGAGGUUGAGCCAAAUACACCUGAAUAUUUAUGUCUUGCUUUCACUGCAACAUUCUUUGCUGGAGUCACUCAAGCUGCACUCGGGUUUUUCAGAUUGGGUUUUCUGAUCGAUUUUCUGUCACAUGCUGCGAUUGUGGGGUUCAUGGGAGGAGUGGUCGUUACCAUUGCGCUUCAGCAACUUAAAGGGUUGUUAGGGAACAAGGAUUUAAAAAAAAGACUGAUUUAGUUCAUGACCAACUUACUAAACUAAAACUUGUGUUCAUAAAAUAGAAAAUGGAAAAUAGAACUGACAAGACUAAAACUUGUGUUCAUAAAAUAGAAAAUGGAAAAUAGAACUGACAAGUGUGAAAACAUUAUUAUUUUAAAUUAUUUGGUUUUAUGUUA